GAUGAACGCUGGCGGCGUGCCUAAUACAUGCAAGUCGAGCGAACAGACGCGGAGCUUGCUCCUCUGAUGUUAGCGGCGGACGGGUGAGUAACACGUGGAUAACCUACCUAUAAGUCUGGGAUAAUUUCGGGAAACCGGAGCUAAUCCCGGAUAACCUGUUGAACCGCAUGGUUCAACAGUGAAAGUCGGUCUUUCUGUCACUUAUAGAUGGAUCUCGGCUGCAUUAGCUAGUUGGUAAGGUAACGGCUUACCAAGGCAACGAUGCGUAGCCGACCUGAGAGGGUGAUAGGCCACACGGGAACUGAGACACGGUCCAGACUCCUACGGGAGGCAGCAGUAGGGAAUCGUCCGCAAUGGGCGAAAGCCUGACGGAGCAACGCCGCGUGAGUGAAGAAGGUCUUCGGAGCGUAAAACUCUGUUAUGAGGGAAGAACAAAUGUGUAAGUAACUAUGCACGUCUUGACGGUACCUAAUCAGAAAGCCACGGCUAACUACGUG
This 497-nucleotide ribosomal RNA is filed under the name uncultured bacterium. RNAcentral describes it as "partial 16S ribosomal RNA". It matches the Rfam family "Bacterial small subunit ribosomal RNA", at positions 28 to 507 of the family's 1533-position model. The record is from RNAcentral.